Molecule: ribosomal RNA, 497 nt
Filed under: uncultured bacterium
Lineage: Bacteria
Description: partial 16S ribosomal RNA
Rfam family: Bacterial small subunit ribosomal RNA
Source: RNAcentral
GAUGAACGCUGGCGGCGUGCCUAAUACAUGCAAGUCGAGCGAACGGACGAGAAGCUUGCUUCUCUGAUGUUAGCGGCGGACGGGUGAGUAACACGUGGAUAACCUACCUAUAAGACUGGGAUAACUUCGGGAAACCGGAGCUAAUACCGGAUAAUAUUUUGAACCGCAUGGUUCAAAAGUGAAGGACGGUCUUGCUGUCACUUAUAGAUGGAUCCGCGCUGCAUUAGCUAGUUGGUAAGGUAACGGCUUACCAAGGCAACGAUGCAUAGCCGACCUGAGGGGGUGAUCGGCCACACUGGAACUGAGACACGGUCCAGACUCCUACGGGAGGCAGCAGUAGGGAAUCUUCCGCAAUGGGCGAAAGCCUGACGGAGCAACGCCGCGUGAGUGAUGAAGGUCUUCGGAUCGUAAAACUCUGUUAUUAGGGAAGAACAUAUGUGUAAGUAACUGUGCACAUCUUGACGGUACCUAAUCAGAAAGCCACGGCUAACUACGUG